AGCGGCAGGCUUAACACAUGCAAGUCGAGGGGUAACAGGGGAGCUUGCUUCCGCUGACGACCGGCGAACGUGCGUAACGCGUAUAGAAUCUGCCUUGUACAGGAGGAUAGCCUUUAGAAAUGAAGAUUAAUACUCCAUAAUACUGANAUGUGGCAUCACGAUUUAGUUAAACAUUUAUGGGUACAAGAUGACUAUGCGUCCUAUUAGCUAGAUGGUAAGGUAACGGCUUACCAUGGCAACGAUAGGUAGGGGGUCUGAGAGGAUUAUCCCCCACACUGGUACUGAGANGGACCAGACUCCUACGGGAGGCAGCAGUGAGGAAUAUUGGUCAAUGGAGGCAACUCUGAACCAGCCAUGCCGCGUGCAGGAAGACUGCCCUAUGGGUUGUAAACUGCUUUUAUACAGGAAGAAACAGAUCUACGUGUAGGUCCUUGACGGUACUGUAAGAAUAAGCACCGGCUAACUCCGUGCCAGCAGCCGCGGUAAUAC
Molecule: ribosomal RNA, 489 nt
Filed under: uncultured marine bacterium
Lineage: Bacteria
Description: bacterial SSU rRNA
Rfam family: Bacterial small subunit ribosomal RNA
Source: RNAcentral